This 477-nucleotide ribosomal RNA is filed under the name uncultured anaerobic ammonium-oxidizing bacterium. Its description in RNAcentral is "bacterial SSU rRNA". It matches the Rfam family "Bacterial small subunit ribosomal RNA", at positions 365 to 832 of the family's 1533-position model. The record is from RNAcentral.
UUCGCAAUGCCCGAAAGGGUGACGAAGCGACGCCGCGUGUGGGAAGAAGGCCUUCGGGUUGUAAACCACUGUCGGGAGUUAAGAAAUGCAAGGAUAUGAAUGGUGUCUUUGCUUGACUAAGGCUCCGGAGGAAGCCACGGCUAACUCUGUGCCAGCAGCCGCGGUAAUACAGAGGCGGCAAGCGUUGUUCGGAAUUAUUGGGCGUAAAGAGCACGUAGGCGGCUAUGUAAGUCGGUUGUGAAAGCCUUCCGCUCAACGGGAGAACAGCAUCCGAUACUGCAUGGCUUGAGUGCGGGAGGGGAGAGUGGAACUUCUGGUGGAGCGGUGAAAUGCGUAGAUAUCAGAAGGAACGCCGGCGGCGAAAGCGGCUCUCUGGCCCAUAACUGACGCUGAGUGUGCGAAAGCUAGGGGAGCAAACGGGAUUAGAUACCCCGGUAGUCCUAGCCGUAAACGAUGGGCACUAAGUAGAGGGGUUUU